CGGGUUGUGGCUCAGCUUGGUAGAGCGCUGCGUUCGGGACGCAGAGGUCGCAGGUUCAAAUCCUGUCAACCCGACCA
Molecule: transfer RNA, 77 nt
Filed under: Parvibacter caecicola
Lineage: Bacteria; Bacillati; Actinomycetota; Coriobacteriia; Coriobacteriales; Coriobacteriaceae
Also listed under: 6 other names
Description: tRNA-Pro
Rfam family: tRNA
About the family: Transfer RNA (tRNA) molecules are approximately 80 nucleotides in length. Their secondary structure includes four short double-helical elements and three loops (D, anti-codon, and T loops).
Source: RNAcentral